GACGAACGCUGGCGGCGUGCCUAAUACAUGCAAGUCGAACGCUUCUUUCCUCCCGAGUGCUUGCACUCAAUUGGAAAGAGGAGUGGCGGACGGGUGAGUAACACGUGGGUAACCUACCCAUCAGAGGGGGAUAACACUUGGAAACAGGUGCUAAUACCGCAUAACAGUUUAUGCCGCAUGGCAUAAGAGUGAAAGGCGCUUUCGGGUGUCGCUGAUGGAUGGACCCGCGGGGCAUUAGCUAGUUGGUGAGGUAACGGCUCACCAAGGCCACGAUGCAUAGCCGACCUGAGAGGGUGAUCGGCCACACUGGAACUGAGACACGGCCCAGACUCCUACGGGAGGCAGCAGUAGGGAAUCUUCGGCAAUGGACGAAAGUCUGACCGAGCAACGCCGCGUGAGUGAAGAAGGUUUUCGGAUCGUAAAACUCUGUUGUUAGAGAAGAACAAGGACGUUAGUAACUGAACGUCCCCUGACGGUAUCUAACCAGAAAGCCACGGCUAACUACGUG
This 508-nucleotide ribosomal RNA is filed under the name uncultured bacterium. RNAcentral's name for it is "partial 16S ribosomal RNA". It matches the Rfam family "Bacterial small subunit ribosomal RNA", at positions 28 to 507 of the family's 1533-position model. The record is from RNAcentral.